Molecule: ribosomal RNA, 462 nt
Filed under: Streptococcus mitis
Lineage: Bacteria; Bacillati; Bacillota; Bacilli; Lactobacillales; Streptococcaceae
Description: bacterial SSU rRNA
Rfam family: Bacterial small subunit ribosomal RNA
Source: RNAcentral
GACGAACGCUGGCGGCGUGCCUAAUACAUGCAAGUAGAACGCUGAAGGAGGAGCUUGCUUCUCUGGAUGAGUUGCGAACGGGUGAGUAACGCGUAGGUAACCUGCCUGGUAGCGGGGGAUAACUAUUGGAAACGAUAGCUAAUACCGCAUAAGAGUAGACGUUGCAUGACAUUUGCUUAAAAGGUGCAAUUGCAUCACUACCAGAUGGACCUGCGUUGUAUUAGCUAGUUGGUGAGGUAACGGCUCACCAAGGCAACGAUACAUAGCCGACCUGAGAGGGUGAUCGGCCACACUGGGACUGAGACACGGCCCAGACUCCUACGGGAGGCAGCAGUAGGGAAUCUUCGGCAAUGGGGGGAACCCUGACCGAGCAACGCCGCGUGAGUGAAGAAGGUUUUCGGAUCGUAAAGCUCUGUUGUAAGAGAAGAACGAGUGUGAGAGUGGAAAGUUCACACUGUGACG